Molecule: ribosomal RNA, 1483 nt
Filed under: human gut metagenome
Description: bacterial SSU rRNA
Rfam family: Bacterial small subunit ribosomal RNA
Source: RNAcentral
ACGCUGGCGGCGUGCUUAACACAUGCAAGUCGAACGGGAUCCAUCAGGCUUUGCUUGGUGGUGAGAGUGGCGAACGGGUGAGUAAUGCGUGACCGACCUGCCCCAUACACCGGAAUAGCUCCUGGAAACGGGUGGUAAUGCCGGAUGCUCCGACUCCUCGCAUGGGGUGUCGGGAAAGAUUUCAUCGGUAUGGGAUGGGGUCGCGUCCUAUCAGGUAGUCGGCGGGGUAACGGCCCACCGAGCCUACGACGGGUAGCCGGCCUGAGAGGGCGACCGGCCACAUUGGGACUGAGAUACGGCCCAGACUCCUACGGGAGGCAGCAGUGGGGAAUAUUGCACAAUGGGCGCAAGCCUGAUGCAGCGACGCCGCGUGCGGGAUGACGGCCUUCGGGUUGUAAACCGCUUUUGAUCGGGAGCAAGCCUUCGGGUGAGUGUACCUUUCGAAUAAGCACCGGCUAACUACGUGCCAGCAGCCGCGGUAAUACGUAGGGUGCAAGCGUUAUCCGGAAUUAUUGGGCGUAAAGGGCUCGUAGGCGGUUCGUCGCGUCCGGUGUGAAAGUCCAUCGCUUAACGGUGGAUCUGCGCCGGGUACGGGCGGGCUGGAGUGCGGUAGGGGAGACUGGAAUUCCCGGUGUAACGGUGGAAUGUGUAGAUAUCGGGAAGAACACCAAUGGCGAAGGCAGGUCUCUGGGCCGUUACUGACGCUGAGGAGCGAAAGCGUGGGGAGCGAACAGGAUUAGAUACCCUGGUAGUCCACGCCGUAAACGGUGGAUGCUGGAUGUGGGGCCCGUUCCACGGGUUCCGUGUCGGAGCUAACGCGUUAAGCAUCCCGCCUGGGGAGUACGGCCGCAAGGCUAAAACUCAAAGAAAUUGACGGGGGCCCGCACAAGCGGCGGAGCAUGCGGAUUAAUUCGAUGCAACGCGAAGAACCUUACCUGGGCUUGACAUGUUCCCGACAGCCGUAGAGAUAUGGCCUCCCUUCGGGGCGGGUUCACAGGUGGUGCAUGGUCGUCGUCAGCUCGUGUCGUGAGAUGUUGGGUUAAGUCCCGCAACGAGCGCAACCCUCGCCCUGUGUUGCCAGCACGUCAUGGUGGGAACUCACGGGGGACCGCCGGGGUCAACUCGGAGGAAGGUGGGGAUGACGUCAGAUCAUCAUGCCCCUUACGUCCAGGGCUUCACGCAUGCUACAAUGGCCGGUACAACGGGAUGCGACACGGCGACGUGGAGCGGAUCCCUGAAAACCGGUCUCAGUUCGGAUUGGAGUCUGCAACCCGACUCCAUGAAGGCGGAGUCGCUAGUAAUCGCGGAUCAGCAACGCCGCGGUGAAUGCGUUCCCGGGCCUUGUACACACCGCCCGUCAAGUCAUGAAAGUGGGUAGCACCCGAAGCCGGUGGCCUAACCCUUUGUGGAUGGAGCCGUCUAAGGUGAGACUCGUGAUUGGGACUAAGUCGUAACAAGGUAGCCGUACCGGAAGGUGCGGCUG